Molecule: ribosomal RNA, 497 nt
Filed under: uncultured bacterium
Lineage: Bacteria
Description: partial 16S ribosomal RNA
Rfam family: Bacterial small subunit ribosomal RNA
Source: RNAcentral
GAUGAACGCUGGCGGCGUGCCUAAUACAUGCAAGUCGAGCGAACGGACGAGGAGCUUGCUUCUCUGACGUUAGCGGCGGACGGGUGAGUAACACGUGGAUAACCUACCUAUAAGACUGGGAUAACUUCGGGAAACCGGAGCUAAUACCGGAUAAUAUUUUGAACCGCAUGGUUCAAAAGUGAAAGACGGUUUUGCUGUCACUUAUAGAUGGAUCCGCGCUGCAUUAGCUAGUUGGUAAGGUAACGGCUUACCAAGGCAACGAUGCGUAGCCGACCUGAGAGGGUGAUCGGCCACACUGGAACUGAGACACGGUCCAGACUCCUACGGGAGGCAGCAGUAGGGAAUCUUCCGCAAUGGGCGAAAGCCUGACGGAGCAACGCCGCGUGAGUGAUGAAGGUCUUCGGAUCGUAAAACUCUGUUAUUAGGGAAGAACAAAUGUGUAAGUAACUAUGCACGUCUUGACGGUACCUAAUCAGAAAGCCACGGCUAACUACGUG